UUUGACAAACGCUGUAUUCAUGUAAUAUAGAGGAAAGUCCAUGCUCACAUAGUCUGUGAUGACUAUAGUGUUCGUGUAUAGGGAAAAAAUAACCUAUAGCAGUUUAUAACUGACGGAGUUGAAAUAGCCUAAAUCUUUGACAUGGCUAAAGUAAACGUAAAGGGCCAAAGAGACGAUUAAGUCCAAAAGGAUGGAAGUGGAACGUGGUAACCCCCGCGAGUGAGAAACCCAAAUUAUGGUAGGGGAAUUCACAUAAGAGAAACAGAAUCAAGUGUGGAAUCGAGUGAUCGAUAGAUAAAUGUUUGUCACCGUAAGGUACAGAACAUGGCUUAUAA
Molecule: RNase P RNA, 335 nt
Filed under: human gut metagenome
Description: Bacterial RNase P class B
Rfam family: Bacterial RNase P class B
About the family: Ribonuclease P (RNase P) is a ubiquitous endoribonuclease, found in archaea, bacteria and eukarya as well as chloroplasts and mitochondria. Its best characterised activity is the generation of mature 5'-ends of tRNAs by cleaving the 5'-leader elements of precursor-tRNAs. Cellular RNase Ps are ribonucleoproteins.
Source: RNAcentral